RNAcentral lists this ribosomal RNA (267 nucleotides) under uncultured bacterium. RNAcentral describes it as "partial 16S ribosomal RNA". It matches the Rfam family "Bacterial small subunit ribosomal RNA", at positions 793 to 1055 of the family's 1533-position model. The record is from RNAcentral.
GUCCACGCUGUAAACGAUGAGGGCUAGAUGUUGGGGGGCUUAGCCUCUCGGUGUCGCAGCUAACGCGUUAAGCCCUCCGCCUGGGGAGUACGGCCGCAAGGUUAAAACUCAAAGGAAUUGACGGGGGCCCGCACAAGCGGUGGAGCAUGUGGUUCAAUUCGAAGCAACGCGAAGAACCUUACCAGCUCUUGACAUGGGGAGUAUGGGUCCGGGAGACCGGGUCCUUCAGUUCGGCUGGCUCCCACACAGGUGCUGCAUGGCUGUCGU